CAAUGAUGAGUUUAACUGGGAGUGACUUUACCACUGCACCGUUCAAGGUCCCCCUGUCAUAGAUACUCAAGUCGAUUGAUGGAACUUUGCCACUCAGGAACAUUCACUGUUUUCUUGGGUCGCCAACCAUCCACAACAAGAAUUACUGUGUGAAUUCUUUGCGCCCCACUCUAACCACAUUGGAGUGUAAACAUCAGCUACAGGACAAGACCUUGAAAAGCCCAUCAGCUCUCCAGAUGUAGAAUGGCUUGGCAGAUGCCUUGGAGGGAAAAAGUCUUGCCACUAUCCUCAACUAUAUUGAACCUGCAAUGACCCAGUACCCAGCCAACACUUGAAAACACCAGAAAAAAACCCCACAGACAUGGUUGCCCAGCUGUCCAUCACCCUGGCAAAUGUUCUAUAUAAAGCCACAAGAACAUUGAGGAAGAGCUGAUACACUGUGGAAUUACUAAUAUUGCAAUAUUGGACAGUAAAUACAUGACAAAGUGCUAAAAGGUCCC
This is a long non-coding RNA of Esox lucius (northern pike), 500 nucleotides long. The record is from Ensembl. Lineage: Eukaryota; Metazoa; Chordata; Actinopteri; Esociformes; Esocidae.